GAUGAACGCUGGCGGCGUGCCUAAUACAUGCAAGUCGAGCGAAGAGAAGAGGUGCUUGCUCCUCUGACAUUAGCGGCGGACGGGUGAGUAACACGUGGAGAACCUACCUAUAAGAGGGGGAUAACUUCGGGAAACCAGAGCUAAUACCGGAUAAUAUAUUUAACCACAUGGUUCAAUAGUGAAAGACGGUUUUGCUUUACCCUAAAAAUGUCUCCCCUCCUAAUUAGCUAGUUGGUAGGUUAACGGCUUACCAAGGCAACGAUGCGUAGCCGCCCUGAGAGGGUGAUCGGCAACACUGUAACUGAGACAAGGUCCAGACUCCUACGGGAGGCAGCAGUAGGGAAUCUUCCGCAAUGGGCGAAAGCCUGACGGAGCAACGCCGCGUGAGUGAUGAAGGUCUUCGGAUCGUAAAACUCUGUUAUUAGGGAAGAACAAAUGUGUAAGUAACUAUGCACGUCUUGACGGUACCUAAUCAGAAAGCCACGGCUAACUACGUG
RNAcentral lists this ribosomal RNA (497 nucleotides) under uncultured bacterium. Its description in RNAcentral is "partial 16S ribosomal RNA". It matches the Rfam family "Bacterial small subunit ribosomal RNA", at positions 28 to 507 of the family's 1533-position model. The record is from RNAcentral.